CCUACCUGCCCAGUGGACUAUUUGNCCAACGGCCGCGGUAUCUUGACCGUGCUAAGGUAGCGAAAUCACUUGUCUUUUAAAUGAGGACCUGUAUGAAUGGUGGAACGAGGGCUUAACUGUCUCCUUUUUCAAGUCAGUGAAAUUGAUCUGCCCGUGCAGAAGCGGACAUAAACAUACAAGACGAGAAGACCCUUUGGAGCUUAAGACAUAUAGUCAACUGUGUUAAAAGUUCUACUCAAAAAAAUUAAACAAAACAAUAACUGACUCUGCGUCUUCGGUUGGGGCGACCGCGGGGGAAAACAAAGCCCCCACGUAGAAUGGGAUACUCCCUAAAACCAAGAGAAACAUCUCUAAGUCACAGAACCUCUGACUAAAAGAUCCGGCGCAUGCCGAUCGACGAACCAAGUUACCCUAGGGAUAACAGCGCAAUCCCCUCCAAGAGCCCGUAUCAACAAGGGGGUUUACGACCUCGAUGUUGGAUCAGGACAUCCUAAUGGUGCAGCCGCUAUUAAGGGUUCGUUUGUUCAACGAUUAAAGUCCU
Molecule: ribosomal RNA, 541 nt
Filed under: Henochilus wheatlandii
Lineage: Eukaryota; Metazoa; Chordata; Actinopteri; Characiformes; Characidae
Description: partial large subunit ribosomal RNA
Rfam family: Bacterial large subunit ribosomal RNA
Source: RNAcentral